RNAcentral lists this ribosomal RNA (514 nucleotides) under uncultured bacterium. Its description in RNAcentral is "partial 16S ribosomal RNA". It matches the Rfam family "Bacterial small subunit ribosomal RNA", at positions 28 to 523 of the family's 1533-position model. The record is from RNAcentral.
GGUGAACGCUGGCGGCGUGCCUAAUACAUGCAAGUCGAGCGAACUUUUGGGAGCUUGCUCCCAAAAGUUAGCGGCGGACGGGUGAGUAACACGUGGGCAACCUGCCUAUAAGACUGGGAUAACUUCGGGAAACCGGAGCUAAUACCGGAUAACAUAUGAUACCACAUGGUCUCAUAUUAAAAGAUGGCUUUUAGCUAUCACUUAUAGAUGGGCCCGCGGCGCAUUAGCUAGUUGGUGAGGUAAUGGCUCACCAAGGCGACGAUGCGUAGCCGACCUGAGAGGGUGAUCGGCCACACGGGGACUGAGACACGGCCCAGACUCCUACGGGAGGCAGCAGUAGGGAAUCUUCCGCAAUGGACGAAAGUCUGACGGAGCAACGCCGCGUGAGCGAAGAAGGUCUUCGGAUCGUAAAGCUCUGUUGUUAGGGAAGAACAAGUACCGUUCAAAUAGGGCGGUACCUUGACGGUACCUAACCAGAAAGCCACGGCUAACUACGUGCCAGCCGCCGCAGUAA